CAUGGGAAUGUUUUAAUGGUUAACAGAAAGGUUCUAUGGUUAUGAAGAUGACGAUGAUGAGGACGAAGAUGACGAUGAUGUGGAGUUACCGGAGCCUCUCCCAAGCUCAACUGAAUGUGAAUCUUCCGUCCAUCCAGCACAAGAGCUCGAACUGCUCGAACGCGACGACAAAACAAGAAUGUUCUUAUUCCAGUUGCCGAAAUCUCUUCCUUUGCUAAGAACAUCAACCACUGUAGUUGAAAGGAAUGGAAGGUCCAUAGUGAAGGAGGUGAAAGAAGGAUACAGUCUGAAUGAUUUGCCAGGAGGGUAUAUGGGCAAGAUGCUGGUGUACAAGAGUGGCAAGGUCAAGAUGAAGUUGGGAGAUGCCUUGUUUGAUGUGAACCCGGGUACUGAAUGUGGGAUGACACAACACGCAGUAGCCAUGAACACUAAAAAGAAACAUUGCUGCCAGCUCGGGGACAUCGAGAAACGGCAUCUUGUCGUGACCCCGGAUGUCAACUCUCUGUUGAAUGACAAUAGGAUUUAGUUAUGUCUGUUGAUUGACCAGGCUGUGAGCUACUGCAGUAGCUUGGCAAAUAUGGUGUGCAUAUGGUAAAAGUAUGAGUGUUAACUGCAUGACAUAACCUGAACUUGUAGCUGUAGCUGUAGUAGCACUUGUCCAGCAGUAGUAUAGAUGCUGCUUUCAGCUGAUGAGUGCUCGGAGAGAUGUUGUAUAUUUAUCUCAUUAGAGUAGGAGGUGCAUGAAUCUACGUAUCAUCUGAACCUCAUUUUACUAUUGUACGUGCUUGAGACCAUCAAUUCCGUUUGUGUUUGCA
Molecule: long non-coding RNA, 815 nt
Organism: Lolium rigidum
Lineage: Eukaryota; Viridiplantae; Streptophyta; Magnoliopsida; Poales; Poaceae
Exons: 3
Source: RefSeq, a predicted model, not a curated record